AUGGCGUGGUACUUGUGCGGCGCCGCCAACUGCCACGAGAGCGCGGGUGGCGCGCCGAGGCGAAACCGCCAGGUGGGCGGCGGCCGAGAGAGGAGGUUCUGGCACCCGGAGGGGGGCAAGAAGCCCAUUCUAGGCCGGGACAGGAAACCCGUUGGGGCGUACUGGCGCACGCUCUCGUACGUGUUGAAGACGAAAAAUCCGACUGGUGCCAAAAAAUCAUUCAGAAACACAAGGCUAGGCUGGUGCAUGAUCGAGAUAGGGCUCGACCACCACCACCACUUGGUGCUCUGCAAGGUGUACAGGUCGCCUCGCAGCACGGCGGAUCCAGCCGAAUCAUGCACGACCACCGCCGGCGCGGAGGACGUCGGUCCGGCGCCUGCUGGUACCGGCUUAUCUGGAGUUGAAGACGGGCUGCAUGACUCAACGCUGCAGGGCGUGGCAGGCGGCGGCAUGCCAUGUCCUCCAGAGCCGGCGCCUGGUUCGUAUGACUACAAUCUCCAUUCCCUGGGGUUGGCCCGGAAGCCAGCUCUCCUCAUCGGCCCCGCCUCCAAGCACCGGACUCUGGCUAUUGUGAACAAGUCCAAUGCUGCUGCGUCGGUGGAGGCAACAAUCCUGAUGAAGUUCGGUGGUUCAUCGAUACCAUCGGCGGAGCGGAUGAAAGAGAUGGCCAAGCUCGUCCUCGUCUCGCAGAAUCCGGUGGUUGUAUUGUCCGCCAUGGGGAACACCAACACCAACAUUCGCCUGGCCGCAUGGAAGGCUCUGAGAUGCGGCGCCCGGAAGGCAAGCGAAAUCGACGAGCUCGCCAUCAUAAAGGAGCUGCAUCUCAGGACGAUUGAUGAGCUUGGAUUAGAUAGGUCAACUGUUUCAGGUCCAUUGGAUGAGCUGGAACAACAUCUUCAGUAUGUUGCCAUGACCAAAGAGCUGACUCCUAGCACUAAAGAUUACCUUGUUUCCUUUGGUGAACGCGCGUCUACGAAAAUGUUUUCUGGUUACUUAAAUAAACUUGGGAAACAGGUUUGGAGGGAUGUAGACAGUAUGUUCACGUGUGAUCCUAACGUUUGUGGAAAUGCUAUACAUAUACCCUCCUUGACUUUUGAUGAGGGAGUUGAGCUUAGGUGCAUCAGUGAACAGACAAUGCAAAUAGCUGUGGAAGGUGGCAUAAAAGUAACAGUUAAGAACUCGUACAACCCUCAAGCACGUGGUACUGUGAUUACUGAAACAACAGAUAUGAGCAAGAGUAUAUUAACCAGCAUUGCGUUGAAAUCAAAUAUUACCAUCCUGGACAUAGAGAGGACAAGUACGUUGGACUUGGACCAGAAUGCUUUUGUAGAAAAGGCCAUCUCAAUUUUUCAAAAUUUUGAAUACUUGAGCAUCUCAGUUGAUUGGAUAGCUACGAGUGAAGGCAAGGUGUCGUUUACAUUAGUUCCAUCAAAACUGUUGAGUCGAGAGCUGAUCCAACCGGCUCUUGAUAUGUCAGUUCAAGAGCUUCAAACUAUUGCAGAUGUUCACCGACUACAUGACAUGUCAGUCAUAUCCCUAAUUGGGAAACCGGGGAGGUCGAUAGACAUUCUUGGAAAGGCGCUAAGUAUUCUACAAAGCAGGGAUGUUGCAGUCGAGAAGGUCUCACAAGGGGUGUCCAAGGUGACGAAGGUUUCCUUGGUGGUCCAUGACACUGUGGCAAACCAUUGUGUGCAAGCCCUCCAUUCGGCAUUCUUUGAGCUUAACGACGACACCCGAGCCCUAGUAAACUCAUCCAGCUCUGGCAACAAGAGGAAGGCGGAUGCUGACCACCUUGAGGCUCCACUGGGCGUGCAUCGGGAAAAGAUGGUCACGGAACGCGUGGUUCUCGAAAAUUUGAAGCGCACAUUGUUGUCGGACAAGGACGGGGAUCCAACCGAGUUCUUUGACAGUGUGUCUAGCGACAACAUAGGAGUGUACUACAACGAUGAUCAGGCCUUGACCGCCGAUGUACUCGAAUUCGAUGGCUACUUCGGAUUUGAGGAUAUGUGA
Molecule: ribosomal RNA, 2010 nt
Filed under: Triticum aestivum (bread wheat)
Lineage: Eukaryota; Viridiplantae; Streptophyta; Magnoliopsida; Poales; Poaceae
Description: partial small subunit ribosomal RNA
Source: RNAcentral